RNAcentral lists this ribosomal RNA (831 nucleotides) under uncultured bacterium. Its description in RNAcentral is "bacterial SSU rRNA". It matches the Rfam family "Bacterial small subunit ribosomal RNA", at positions 60 to 908 of the family's 1533-position model. The record is from RNAcentral.
AGUCGACGGAGACAGUAGCAAUAUUGUCUUAGUGGCGAACGGGUGAGUAACGCGUUGGUGACCUGCCUCGAAGAGAGGGAUAACAGUUCGAAAGGAUUGCUAAUACCUCAUGUGGUUGCUUGGGUUAGAGACCUUGCAACUAAACGGAUUUAUUCGCUUCGAGAGGGGCCUGCGUCCCAUCAGCUAGUUGGUAGGGUAAUGGCCUACCAAGGCGAUGACGGGUAGGGGACCUGAGAGGGUGGCCCCCCACAAUGGAACUGAAACACGGUCCAUACACCUACGGGUGGCAGCAGUAGGGAAUAUUGGUUAAUCUGGGAAACCGGGAACCAGCAACGCCGCGUGCGCGAUGAAGGCCUUCGGGUUGUAAAGCGCUUUUAGAGAGGAUGAGGAAGGACAGUACUCUCUGAAUAAGCCUCGGCUAACUACGUGCCAGCAGCCGCGGUAAAACGUAGGAGGCGAGCGUUAUCCGGAUUUACUGGGCGUAAAGCGCGUGUAGGCGGUUUGAUAAGUUGGAUGUGAAAGCUCCUGGCUUAACUGGGAGAGGUCGUUCAAAACUGUCAGACUUGAGAGUGGUAGAGGGAGGUGGAAUUCCGGGUGUAGUGGUGAAAUGCGUAGAUAUCCGGAGGAACACCAGUGGCGAAAGCGGCCUCCUGGACCAUUUCUGACGCUCAGACGCGAAAGCUAGGGUAGCAAACGGGAUUAGAGACCCCGGUAGUCCUAGCUGUAAACGAUGUGAACUUGGCGUCGGUGGGUUCAAAUCCAUCGGUGCCGAAGCUAACGCGAUAAGUUCACCGCCUGGGGACUACGGCCGCAAGGUUAAAACUCAAAGGA